RNAcentral lists this ribosomal RNA (510 nucleotides) under uncultured bacterium. Its description in RNAcentral is "partial 16S ribosomal RNA". It matches the Rfam family "Bacterial small subunit ribosomal RNA", at positions 28 to 507 of the family's 1533-position model. The record is from RNAcentral.
GACGAACGCUGGCGGCGUGCUUAACACAUGCAAGUCGAACGAAGAGCGAUGGAAGCUUGCUUCUAUCAAUCUUAGUGGCGAACGGGUGAGUCACGCGUAAUCAACCUGCCCUUCAGAGGGGGACAACAGUUGGAAACGACUGCUAAUACCGCAUACGAUCUAAUCUCGGCAUCGAGGAUAGAUGAAAGGUGGCCUCUACAUGUAAGCUAUCACUGAAGGAGGGGAUUGCGUCUGAUUAGCUAGUUGGAGGGGUAACGGCCCACCAAGGCGAUGAUCAGUGGCCGGUCGGAGAGGAUGAGCGGCCACAUUGGGACGGAGACACGGCCCAGACUCCUACGGGAGGCAGCAGUGGGGAAUCUGCCGCAAUGGACGAAAGUCUGACGGAGCAACGCCGCGUGAGUGAUGACGGCCUUCGGGUUGUAAAGCUCUGUUAAUCGGGACGAAAGGCCUUCUUGCGAAUAGUGAGAAGGAUUGACGGUACCGGAAUAGAAAGCCACGGCUAACUACGUG